This 490-nucleotide ribosomal RNA is filed under the name uncultured bacterium. RNAcentral's name for it is "partial 16S ribosomal RNA". It matches the Rfam family "Bacterial small subunit ribosomal RNA", at positions 30 to 507 of the family's 1533-position model. The record is from RNAcentral.
AUUGAACGCUGGCGGCAGGCCUAACACAUGCAAGUCGAAUGGUAACAGGAAACAUCUUGCUGUUUCGCUGACGAGUGGCGGACGGGUGAGUAAUGUCUGGGAAACUGCCUGAUGGAGGGGGAUAACUACUGGAAACGGUAGCUAAUACCGCAUAACGUCGCAAGCCCAAAGAGGGGGACAUUCGGGCCUCUUGCCAUCAGAUGUGCCCAGAUGGGAUUAGCUAGUAGGUGGGGUAACGGCUCACCUAGGCGACGAUCCCUAGCUGGUCUGAGAGGAUGACCAGCGACACUGGAACUGAGACACGGUCCAGACUCCUACGGGAGGCAGCAGUGGGGAAUAUUGCACAAUGGGCGCAAGCCUGAUGCAGCCAUGCCGCGUGUAUGAAGAAGGCCUUCGGGUUGUAAAGUACUUUCAGCGGGGAGGAAGGGAGUAAAGUUAAUACCUUGGCUCAUUGACGUUACCCGCAGAAGAAGCACCGGCUAACUCCGUG